GUGAUUGUAGCUCAGUGGUAGAGCACUUGCCUUGGAUGCAUGAGACACUGGGUUUGAUCCUCAGCACCACA
Molecule: non-coding RNA, 71 nt
Organism: Ictidomys tridecemlineatus (thirteen-lined ground squirrel)
Lineage: Eukaryota; Metazoa; Chordata; Mammalia; Rodentia; Sciuridae
Source: Rfam